Molecule: ribosomal RNA, 324 nt
Filed under: uncultured eukaryote
Lineage: Eukaryota
Description: partial 18S ribosomal RNA
Rfam family: Eukaryotic small subunit ribosomal RNA
Source: RNAcentral
CCCUUAGAUGUCCUGGGCUGCACGCGCGCUACACUGAUGUGUCCAGUAAGCACCUAACCUCUUCCGAAAGGAACGGGUAACCUUUGCAAAGCACAUCGUGAUGGGGAUAGAUUAUUGCAAUUAUUAGUCUUGAACGAGGAAUUCCUAGUAAGCACAAGUCAUCAGCUUGUGUUGAUUACGUCCCUGCCCUUUGUACACACCGCCCGUCGCUCCUACCGAUUGAAUGUUCCGGUGAGCUCUUCGGACUGCGCGGUCUGCAGUUUCUGCGUUCCGUGCGGAAAGUUGGGCAAACCUUAACAUUUAGAGGAAGGAGAAGUCGUAACA